AACGAACGCUGGCGGCAUGCCUAACACAUGCAAGUCGAACGAGAACUCCGGGUCUUGUUGCGAUCGGGGGCGUAACGCGUGGGAACCUGCACUUAGGUUCGGAAUACCUCACCGAAAGGGAUCCUAAUACCGGAUAAUGUCUUCGGACCAAAGAUCUUUUGCCUCUGGAUGGGCGCGCGUUGGAUUAGCUAGUUGGUAGGGUAAAAGCAGACCAAGGGGGUGAUGCAUAGCUGGUAUGGGAGCAUGCUUAGCAACGCUUGGGCUAAGACACGGCCCAGAAUCUUACGCAAGGGAGGAGAGGAGAAUAUAGGACACGGGGGGAAGGCGUGACACAGCAAUGCCGCGUAAGUGAUGCUGGCCGUAGGGUUGUAAUGUUCUUUUACCCGGGAUGAUAAUGACGGUACCGGGUGAAUAAGCUCCGGCUAACUACGUG
This 433-nucleotide ribosomal RNA is filed under the name uncultured bacterium. Its description in RNAcentral is "partial 16S ribosomal RNA". It matches the Rfam family "Bacterial small subunit ribosomal RNA", at positions 29 to 507 of the family's 1533-position model. The record is from RNAcentral.